GCUAUAGGCUCUUCCUAAUCUGAACAGUCAUAAUAAGUGUUAUCACACACACAGAUUCAAAAUACUCUGUGUCGGCAGGAGGACUUAAUAACUGCAUUCCUGGAGUCACCAGAAUCCAAUAAUCUUGGUCCAAGAAAGUUCACAAAACAGCUACGUAUUUCAGCACAGCAGGCAUAAUCAGGCAAGAAAAAUGUUGCAGAGGAACAGUUUCUCCUCGCCUCUAUCCCUACAAGACAAUCAGUUGCAGUAACUCUAGCACAUACAGUCAACUUCAGCACUAGGCAAACGAAACAGUGCUCUCYAGCCUUGUAUCCUGAAAACCGGAAAACGUGGAGGAGGAUCAGUGGUAGAUACAGCAUCUGGGAAUCAAAGAGAAGCUAAUGGAAAGCCAGUACUGUAUGAGGGAGUUCAUGCGUCAGUCUGCAUAUACGAGAGAAGAGAAAGGGAGAGAGCAGUCCAUUUGAAAAAUAAAGAAUUCAGAGAUAUCGCCAUUACUCAGAUACAUCUGCCAUUUUAAUUCGGGACUUCAGCGCUUGCUGCGAGCUUUGGUUUUUUCACUACAACCAAAGCUGAAUUAACCACUAUCUUUUCUCUUCACAGCGUCUGAAGAGCCUGAGCUAUUUUGGGAUUUGUCUGUACUACACUGAAAAUGACACCUGUUACACACAGACACAAACGAGAAGAAUUGCAAGCUCCUAAUUCCUCAGAUAUGAUUCUUCAAAAAAGGAAAAAAAAAAAAAWCACAUGAGUCAUGCAUCUGGGAGAGCAAGGUUGGCCCAGUGCAAUAGAGCAGGCGCUGAAGUGGAAGCCUGCAGGUGAAAACCUGGCCAUCGCUUUGAAAAGCUGCAGUCCUGGAAUUUAUCAUAUCAAGUCUUAGAAACUCCCAGCUGGAAGAGCUAAGAUCUUUUCCAAAGAGAUGACAUCAUAUUAAUAUGCAAGCUGCUUCAAAGGCGAGGCUGAAGCUGGGUUCAAGGUAUUUUGCAUCCUCAAAUGACGGCUCUGUUUAUUCUCCUUGCUAUCUUGCAGCGUUCCUAGCCAGCGCAGUAUAGGAAAUGCUGCCAGGAAGUUGG
RNAcentral lists this long non-coding RNA (1070 nucleotides) under Dromaius novaehollandiae (emu). Its description in RNAcentral is "lncRNA (ENSDNVG00000012447.1)". The record is from RNAcentral. Lineage: Eukaryota; Metazoa; Chordata; Aves; Casuariiformes; Dromaiidae.